This 423-nucleotide long non-coding RNA is filed under the name Canis lupus familiaris (dog). RNAcentral describes it as "lncRNA (ENSCAFG00000051987.1)". Lineage: Eukaryota; Metazoa; Chordata; Mammalia; Carnivora; Canidae. The record is from RNAcentral.
CUGGUAGGUUAUAGGCAUUAUUUGAAGAGCCAUGGCCCAAGAUGAGGAAUCUGGAGCCCAGGGAAGUAGAAUGAAGAACCUACAGUCUUGGGCAGGGACACAUUUCUCCCUUAAGCCUCUUGGUUCCAAUCUCACCUCUGGCUUUGUGCAGCAGACUGACCUGCUUCAUGGCCCUACAUUCUGGUAUUAUUGCUGGUAAUUUUGCAUGAACACUUCUGCCUCUAUUUGACAUUGUAACUCUCCAUGCAUUAUAGUCUCUGUUGAUUCUGUUUUUUUUUUAAGAUUUUAUUUAUUUAUUCAUGAGAGACAUGAGAGAGAGAGAGAGAGAGAGAGAGAGAGGCAGAGACACAGGCAGAGUGAGAAGCAGGCUCCAUGCAAGGGAGACUCGAUCCCAGGUUUCCAGGAUCAUGCCCUGGGUGGAAG